This 314-nucleotide ribosomal RNA is filed under the name uncultured eukaryote. RNAcentral's name for it is "partial 18S ribosomal RNA". It matches the Rfam family "Eukaryotic small subunit ribosomal RNA", at positions 1470 to 1796 of the family's 1831-position model. The record is from RNAcentral.
CCCUUAGAUGUUCUGGGCCGCACGCGCGCUACACUGACGAAUGCAACGAGCUUAUAACCUUGGCCGAAAGGUCUGGGUAAUCUCCAAAUUUCGUCGUGAUGGGGAUAGAUUAUUGCAAUUAUUAAUCUUCAGCGAGGAAUUCCUAGUAAACGCAAGUCAUCAACUUGCAUUGAUUACGUCCCUGCCCUUUGUACACACCGCCCGUCGCACCUACCGAUUGAAUGGUCCGGUGAAGCCUCCGGAUUGGCGCGCACCUCGGUGCCGCCGAGAAGUUGGCUAAACCUUACCAUUUAGAGGAAGGUGAAGUCGUAACA